UGAGGAAUAUUGCACAAUGGGCGCAAGCCUGAUGGAGCGACGUCGCGUGAUGGACGAAGUGCUUCGGCACGUAAACAUCUUUUUAUGUGGGAUGAGAUUAUUGACAGUACCACAUGAAUAAGGGGCUCCUAACUCUGUGCCAGCAGGAGCGGUAAUACAGAGGCCCCAAGCGUUAUCCGGAAUCACUGGGCGUAAAGGGUGUCGAGGCGGUUGUAUUAGUCGUUCGUAAAAUCUACGAGCUUAACUUGUAGGCGGCGAACGAAACGGUACGACUUGAGGUUUGGAGAGGUGCGUGGAACUCACGGUGUAGGGGUGAAAUUCGUAGAUAUUCGCAAGAACACCAGUGGCGAAGGCGGCUCACUGGCCCGAUACUGACGCUGAGGCACGAAAGCGUGGGGAGCAAACAGGAUUAGAUACCCCCGUAGUCCCUGAGCGGGCUGGCAAG
This 445-nucleotide ribosomal RNA is filed under the name uncultured bacterium. Its description in RNAcentral is "bacterial SSU rRNA". It matches the Rfam family "Bacterial small subunit ribosomal RNA", at positions 355 to 819 of the family's 1533-position model. The record is from RNAcentral.